UCUGAACUAAAAAGGGUAAUACUUUUUAAGAAACCCAUAUUCUUUGGCGGCCUUUUUUCCUAUUGGAGGAACUUGUCCAUUAAUCGAAAUUACCCGAUCAUUUUCUCUUUUAUAAAGUCUUUAUACCGUCGUCUUAAGAUUAUUGUUUAAAAAAUUACUCUAACCUGAAUUAUCAAGAAAGUCAGAUCAAGGUGAAGCUGAUAUAGAAGGCUAGGGUGAGUUAUGUAUAAGUACUACUAAAGGAAUUAUUUUGAAAAAUUUAUCUGAAUUAAGAUUCAACAGUACUAAAAACCUAAAAUUUUUCAGGGAAGACGUAAAAAAAGGUGU
Molecule: ribosomal RNA, 327 nt
Filed under: Aname sp. MYG460
Lineage: Eukaryota; Metazoa; Arthropoda; Arachnida; Araneae; Anamidae
Description: partial 12S ribosomal RNA
Source: RNAcentral